RNAcentral lists this long non-coding RNA (1011 nucleotides) under Xyrichtys novacula (pearly razorfish). Lineage: Eukaryota; Metazoa; Chordata; Actinopteri; Labriformes; Labridae. The record is from RNAcentral.
CACAAAUUCAGUAAAACUUUUCACUUAUUUUUAUUUUGACUGUUUCAAAAGACAUCACAGUAAAAAAACAAACAACUCCAUGAUCAGUGAAGUAGCCUGAGAGUUUCUCGGAGUCUCACCACAGUCCAGUUUGACAUCCUCAGCACUGAUUUUUGUCUUUCGAUGUGUCAAAUAUGAAAAACUAAUUGUGUCUCUUCUUGCCUUUCAGGACUCAUCCCCGGCAGAUCCUGGAGUUGAUUUUCCUGAUUUUAGCCGUAGAAAUGUUUAGAGUCUGGAUUUAUUAUUUCACCUUUUCAGUGUUUAGAGACUUAAGUCACGAUUAAAAGUGAAGAUUUGGGACAAUUUGAUCAUUUACUUAAAAGCUUUUAAGUUUCAUCAGUCAGCAGUUAAUUUAAAAUAGUUUAGAUUGAAUCAUUUUCUAGUUGGAAUUAUCUUUGGACUGUAAAUCUUUGCUUUUAAAUGGAAAUGUUGGUGCGCUCAAGUGCAAGUGGUGGUCAGUUUGGAUAUAACCUGUUUGUUUCCUGAGAAACUUGUGAUUAACGACUGCACAUUAAAGGUUUAAAAAGGACCAGGUCUGAUGUUUUUAUUGAUUUUUCUAAGCAGACACUCAUUAACAGUUACAGAUAAAACUCACAUUUAAUAUUAAUACUAUUUAAAAUGUGUAUUUUAUCAUUUCAAUCAUUGCUUUUAUAAUUUUUUUACAUGUAGACUUUGUUUAUGUUAAAUUUCAUAUGAAAAUCAUUUUUCUAUCACAGUGCUCCACAUUAACAAAUUGAUGGUUGGUAAAAGUAAAGUUAAAACUACAAACUAAAUAAGUGCAACAACGGCUUGUUACAUGAUCCAGAUGAAGCAGCCGAUCACCACUUAGUGCUGCCCUAUAAUAUUUUUUUUCCAGUUAUAUUAUGACAUUUUAUCAUACUAUAGAAUAGUUUUUUGGAUUAAAUAUAACAUCUUUAACUUACUUUACUAUGAUUUUUUAUCAUACUUUGAUUUUUUUUAAUAUAUUUUUUA